Long non-coding RNA from Anolis carolinensis (green anole), 6955 nucleotides. RefSeq lists it as uncharacterized. NCBI's taxonomy places the organism in Eukaryota, Metazoa, Chordata, Lepidosauria, Squamata, Anolidae. The transcript is spliced from 2 exons. The record is from RefSeq and is a predicted model, not a curated record.
CACACGCACAGCUAAGAGACACAUACAAAGCCAAGUCGCCGCCUGCUGCUUCAAUCGCAGCCCUGAUCACCCCCUCCCCUGGGCGGAGGAACGUCUCCACAAGGGGUUUGUCAGGCUCCAGACUCACACUGUUCACUCGUGAAGGGAAAAAGAGCCGCCCACCAGUGAAAACGCCUUCCUUACUACCGGGAUAUGGCGCUCAGAAAGGGGAGCGACCGACACUCCUCAGUCAUGUCUUUAUCCACCUCCACACCCCGUUAAUCGACUUCAACGAAGUCCACGUGAAGCAGGGAGAGGAAGGUACAAAACACAUGGCUGACCCUUUUUGACAUAAUAUAUACACACACCCCUCACAUGAACCCGUGAAAACGCCCCCAAACACACUCCCCACAGAGACAUGGCGUCCGAAGAGGGCAGCAGCUGACAAUCCUCGAAAAAACUCCCUCGGGUCUACUAUUUCACCCGCCUGUUCUCCGCCCCAGAUUGGCCAAGUUUGGCGGAGUCCACGGGAGGAAGGGGGAAGGGUAGACUCAAAACACGCGAGUGGCCCCUUUAAACGCUCAACAGGCACACAUCUCAUCUCGCCUAGGCCGGUAAAGACGCGGGUGAGGGCAGCGACGGACAUUCCUCGGAAGCCCUCUUUGGCGCUUCUUCGCUUUGGCCAUUCGUCCCAACUAACUCUCUGCCCAUCUAUGCACAGAAGGAGGACUAGAACAUCUCAGUACACAACCUCGCUUGGAUAUGAAUGAUCAAGGGUCUGGAGAACAAGCCCUGUGAGGAGGGGCUUAAAGAGCCGGGCAUGUUUAGCCUGCAGAAGAGAAGGCUGAGAAGAGGCAUUACAGCCAUGUAUAAAUAUGUGAGGGGAAGUCAUAGGGAGGAGAGAACAGGCGUGUUUUCUGCUGCCCUGGAGACUAGGAUGCGGAACAACGCCUUCAAACUACAGGAAAGGAGAUUCCACCUGAACUUCCUAAAUGUGAGAGCUGUUCAGCAGUGGAACUCGCUGCCCCGGACUGUGGUGGAGCUCCUUUUUUAAAACAGAGGCUGGAUGGCCAUCUGUCGGGGGUGCUUUAAUACGAUUUUCCUGCUUCUUGGCAGAGGGUUGGACUGGAUGUCCCACAAGGUCUCUUCCAAUUCUACGAUUCUAUGAUACUGGGAACGCACCCUGGCUCUCUGUUGGCUGCUGUAAACCAGUCUAUGCUUUUAAUGCAUUUUAAGUUGCUUAGAUUUUAAUAUGUUGUAAAUUUUAUCAUUAUGUUUAUUUAAAGGACUUAUAUUUUUUGCUAGUUAUUAUAAGUUUAUAUUGAUGUUGUUUUACUUACUGUUUUGAUUUGAUCUGUCUGACUGUUUUUUUAUCAUGGCAUUGAAUGUGUUGUUGAAGGCUUUCAUGGCUGGAAUCACAGGGUUGCUGCGAGUUUUCCGGGUUGUAUGGCCAUGUUCCAGAAGCAUUAUCUCCUGACGUUUCGCCCACAUCUAUGGCAGGCAUCCUCACAGGCUGUGAGGUCUGUUGGAAACUAGGCAAAUGGGGUUUAUAUAUCUCUGGAAGGUCCAGGUUUAGAGAAAGAACUCUUGUCUGUUUGAGGCAGGUGUGAAUGUUGCAAUUGGCCACCUUGAUUAGCAUUCAAUAGCCUUGUAGCUUCAAAGCCUGACUGCUCCCUGCCUGGGAGAACCCUUUUUUGGGAGGUGUUAGCUGGCCCUGAUUGUUUCUUGUCUGGAAUUUCCCUGUCUUCUGAGUGUUAUUCUUUAUUUAUUGUCCUGAUUUUAGAGGGUUUUUUAAACUACUGGUAGCCAGAUUUUGUUCAUUUUCAUGGUUUCCUCCUCUCUUUUUUUUUGAAAUUGUCCACAUGCUUGUCUCCAACAGACAAGAGUUCUUUCUCCCACCUUGGACCUUCCACAGAUAUAUAAACCUCACUUGCCUAGUUUCCAACGGACCUCACAACCUCUGGGGAUGCCUCCAUAGAUGUGGGCAAAACGUCAGGAGAGAAUGCUUCUGGAACAUAGCCAUACAGCCUGGAAAACUUACAGCGACCCAAUGGCAUUGAAUGUUUGCCUUUUUUUAUUUGGAAACGGCCCUGAGUCCCCCAGGUGAGAUACAGUGGGUUAUAAAUAAAGUUUUAAAUAUUACUAUUUAUUAUUAUGACUUUCGCUGAGUGAAAAGUCAAUCCCCACCUUUGCUCAUUCUCCACUUUCUCCUUCCACGCAUGGAUCCACCACCAACCUGCAUGGUUUCCUUCCACCUGCUCAAAAAAAACAAGAGUCCAGGCAGAAGAGAAAAACGAGUGUGGGCUUUCUCUACCAAUUAUCAUUUUAAAAAGAGGAAAUGUUGACUUCUCUUCCUCAUCAUCUUCACCAGCAUCUUCAUCCUCAUUGCCUAAAUUUUGCAAUGGCUUCAAAUACCCGCAUGAGACAAGAGGAGUGCUUAACCUCACCAUUAAAAGUCUGCAGGUAUUUGUUCCUUUUGCACCUUGGAAUUGGCUGCUUAAUAAUAAUAAUAAUAAUAAUAAUAAUAAUAAUAAUAAUAAUAAUGUGGAAUUAUAGGGAUUUAGUCCAGAGUGAAAGUGGAAGAACUGCCGAAGAAGGAAAAGAAUGCAACCAACUUGCCAUACUUAGAAGAGGUGACCGUCAUUGGACCAGGUUGCUGUGAGUUUUCUGAGCUGUAUGGCCAUGUUCCAGAAGCAUUCUCUCCUGAUGUUUCGGCCACAUCUAUGGCAGGCAUCCUCAGAGGUUGUGAAAUUUGUUGGAAACUAGGCAAGUGGGGUUUUUAUAUCUGUGGAAGGUCCAGGGUGGGAGAAAGAACUCUUGUCUGUUUGAGACAAACAUGUGGAAAAUUUCAACAGAAAGGAGGAAACCAUGAAAAUGAACAAAAUCUGGCUACCAGUAUUACAAAACUCCAAAAUCAAAACAGUAAAUAAUGAACAACACUGAAAACAGGGGAAUUCUAGACAUGAAACAAUCAGGGCCAGCUAACACCUCCCAACAAAGAAUUCCCUUAGGCAGGAAGCAGCCAAGCUUUGAAGCUGCAAGGCUUUUCAAUGCUAAUCAAGGUGAUUAAUUGCAACAUUCACAGGUGCCUCCAACAGACAAAAGUUCUUUCUCCCACCCUGGACCUUCCACAAAUAUAUAAAUCUCACUUGCUUAGUUUCCCACAAACCUCACAACCUCUGAGGGUGCCUGCUAUAGAUGUGGAUGAAACAUCAGGAGAGAAUGCUUCUGGAACAUGGCGAUAGAGCCUGGAAAACUCACAACAACCCAGUGAUUCUGACCAUGAAAGCCUUCAACAACACAUAGUCAUUGGACCAUUCAAUAUAAUUAUCCACAAACUUAACAGCUGGUGAAACAUCCUGAUGUGGCAGUUGCACAUGUGUAUUCACAGAAGAGCAUGGGGAAGGAGGAUUUUUGGUGACAUUGCAAGCUAUGUCAUUGUUCCUUCUUUGCAGCCUUUCCAUGUAAGGGGCUAACACUUAUUUACUUCCUUCUUCCCCUCUCCGUGUAUUUUCCCCUUCCCUCUCCCAAUGGUGUGGGCAUUUGCCCUCUACUACCAACCAGGUUGCAGCAAAACUCAUUUUGCAACCUCCAUGAAAGAUGUGAGAUGAGAGCAAGCUCAUGCAUUGUGGAGAAAAAAUUAUUAGAGCCGGCAUCAGGAGAAAAGGAGCGGCGUAUCAUGUUCCAAGUCCUCUAAGCCAAUCAAAUGUCCUUUGCAAAUGAUGGGUUGGAAGAUGAAGGGAUGAUGGAAGGAUGGCUAUGAACAAGUAAUUCUGUGUGGUGCAGGUUGAGCAUCUCUUCUCUGAAAUACUUGGGACCAGAAGUAUUUUGGGUGGGUUUUUUUUUUCCAGAUUUUGGAAUAUGGUAGAGUCUCACUUAUCCAACAUAAAUGGACCAGAAGAACAUUGAAUAAGCAAAAAUAUUGGAUAAUAAGGAGGGAUUAAGGAAAAGCCUAUUAAAUGUCAAAUUAUGUUAUGAUUUUACAAAUUAAGCACCAAAAACAUGAUGUUUUACAACAAAUCAACAGAAAAAGCAGUCCAAAACACGGUAACGUUAUGUAGCAAUUACUGAAUUUAUGAAUUUAGCACCAAAACAUCACAAUAUAUUGAAAACAUUGACUAAAAAUAUCGGCUAUUAACAAAUUGACUACAAAUAAAGAUAGAAUUGCAUAAAAUGAACUUACAGUAGCAACACUGUCGGAAAUUAAAUCCACAAAAAGUUCAAUCCUUGCUGUCUAGAGAAACAGCUGUGGAUCGGGGUGGGAGGCAAACUGCGUUGGAUAAUCCAGAAUGUUGGAUAAGUGAAUGUUGGAUAAGUGAGAGACUACUGUACUUGUAUUUGCAUAUACGUACAUAAUGAGAUAUCUGGGAGAUGUGACCAAAGUGUAAACACAAAAUCCAUUUAUGUUUCAUACACACCUUAUAAAAUGUAAUUUUAUACAAUAUUUUUGAUGAUUUUGAGCACAGAACAAAGCUUCUGUACAUCAAAUUAUCAGAAGGCACUGGCUCAGCCACUCAUGUGAACAACUAAAUUGUUGGAAGGUUUUAGAAUUUCAGAUAAGGGAUGCCCAACUUGUAUCAAAUGGUUCAGUGCUACAGGAUCCCGGGAUUUCCAAUUUGAUGAGGCACCAGAACUCUUUGGCAGAGAAGGCUAAAGACGUUGUGAAACUACAACUCCCAUGAUGCCAUAGCAUUGAGCCAUAUCAGUUAGAGUAAUGUCAUACUGCAUUCAUUCUGCAGUGUAGACAAACAGAAGGAGCUUGAUUCUGCAGUACUUGCUCUUCGCAUAGGGUCCAUUCAAAUCUAUGAAAGAGACCAGCACAUAUUCAGACCCUUGGAGGAAAACUGCCAAUGUAUUAUUUAUUUAUUUACCAUAUUUAUAUCCCGCCUUUCUCUACUCUGAGGAGGACUCAAGGCGGCUUACAAACGGCAUUUAUAAAGUGCCUUAGGCAUAAAACACAGACAUGAAAUAGAAUUAUAAAAAAUUAAAACAGACAUAAAACAUAAUUAAAGUACAUUCCAAUAUGAGACACAUCAUCCAAAGGCAAGGUCUAAAGCUGUUCCAAAAUCCAUUGUAUGAUUCCCAGGUUUAUAAAAAAAAUGCACUGCACUAUUUAUCAAAGGCCUGCUCCCAAAGCCAAGUUUUUACUCUCUUCCUAAAGAUUAGGAGGGAGGGGGCUGAUCUAAUAUAGCUAGAGAGGGAAUUUCACAGCUGGGGGGGGUCACCACUGAGAAGGCCCUGCCUCUCGUCCCCACCAGUCACACUUGCGAAGGAGGUGGGAUCGAGAGCAGGGCCUCCCCAGACGAUCUUAAACUCCGAGGUGGUUCAUAGGGGGAGAUAGUAGAAUUAUAGAAUAGUAGAGUUGGAAGAGGCCUCAUGGGUCAUCCAGUCCAAUCCCCUGCCAAGAAGCAGGAAAUCGCAUUCAGACAGGUAGACUGGACCGGAACCGUUUAGGGCUUUAUAGGCUAAAGCCAGCACUUUGAAUUGUUGGUGCCUUUGUUUUGGAAGUGGGAUGCAAAGACGUGUGUGGAUUAACCACAGUGUGUUAAUCAAAGUUGUGCUUUUUAAAAUAUGACUUUCUGUUAUACUAAAUAAAGACUGAGAUCCACAUUAAGUGAACACACAUAAUGUCAUGAAUGGUUAAUUCAAUGGAAGGAGUAAGAGUUAAUAGUAUAACUUUUUUCUGCAGCUAAGAGAACAGCCUUCUUGUUUAUAUAUAUUCAGCAAUAAGAAAGUCUAAUGCUUUCAUCGUAGCUUUUUAUAAACCAUUGUUGUUCCAAAGUACACAGCUAAAUUAAGAUAGACAGCAAAAGAUUGAAGUACACAUCCUUACACUGAAAGGAAAAGUAAUUAUAUUAACUCUUCCAUGUAUUUAUGAAUAAGAACAAUAGUGACAUUUAAGUUCUCAUAAUAAAUGCUUACAACAACUCUACGAGGGUGGAUGGCAAUUAUCAGACACUCAUGACCAAAUGAUCAUUUGAAUCUGGGCCUCUCCAGUCCUCUUGUUGCUGUAUCAGUUUUCUUAUUAGGAUGUCUUAUCUAUAACCAAUAUCAGAUGAUACUGGGAUUCAAUUCAAGAUGUUUAAUUAACAAAAUAUUUUUUGUACCUACCCAAAUGGCAAUACAUAUUUUUUCUGCCAUAAUAAAAGCACUAAUCAUCUGCUACAGUUGUAUUCAGUAUGCAAAAUAGGAUAAUGAUUGGAUUUGGAGGUUAAUAAUACCAUGCUUGUUAGUUAUUGAUAAUACAAGGUCCCAGAAUCCUUAAAUUUUCCUACAUUCUUAGAAAUAUAUAUGAAGAUACUCGGCUUUUGUGGUUUUGUAUCUUGAAUAGAACAUUUUAGUAUUAGAUCUUAGUCUAUGUGGAAUUUGAAAGAUGUUAUAACUCUUGGAACUUUGUAUGUUCUUAACCUAAGCCAAUGAAGUUAUGUUUUAGUGACCCAUUGAGUCUUGAGUUCUGAAUACAUAAUACUUUCUUAAAUAUAUUUUAAAAAAUAUUUGCCCACUAGACUUAUCCAGAAAUUAAAAGAUACCUAAAUAAUAUUUUUAGUUUUUUCCCAGAACUGAGACAUUUGUUUCUGGUGAAUCAUGUGUCAGAUUUCUACCACUUAGAAAAUGUAUUUAUAAAGUGCAAACAGUUGCCAUAUUAACUUGAAAAUGGGCUAAAUUCAGUUUUAUACCCUAGCAAAGUUUGGAAAAGUGACUUUGGACUAUAAUCAUAAUCUUUAUUUAUAUCUCACCCCCUCUCCCCAUAGGAACUCGAACAAACUAGAACAAAAGGCAGCUGAUAUCCACUGACUAGGGAAUUCUGGGAACUGUAGUCAAAACAGGUUACUUUUCCAAACUCUGGUUGCUAGCUUUGGAGUGGGCUUUGGACUGCAUCAUUAAAAUCUGUUUUAAGGCAUGUUUUAUGGAUGAUAGAUCUAUCAGUGGCUGUUAGCCAGGAAUAAAUGGAAGCAAUAAAUAUUUAUUACAUUUG